AAGCCUGAUCCAGCCAUGCCGCGUGAGUGAAGAAGGCCUUCGGGUUGUAAAGCUCUUUUGUCCGGAAAGAAAAGCGCUCGGUUAAUACCCGGGUGUCAUGACGGUACCGGAAGAAUAAGCACCGGCUAACUUCGUGCCAGCAGCCGCGGUAAUACGAAGGGUGCAAGCGUUACUCGGAAUUACUGGGCGUAAAGCGUGCGUAGGUGGUUUGUUAAGUCUGAUGUGAAAGCCCUGGGCUCAACCUGGGAACUGCAUUGGAUACUGGCUUACUAGAGUGCGGUAGAGGGGUGUGGAAUUCCCUGUGUAGCAGUGAAAUGCGUAAAUAUGGGGAGGAACACCCGUGGCGAAGGCGACUCCCUGGACCAGCACUGACACUGAGGCACGAAAGCGUGGGGAGCAAACAGGAUUAGAUACCCUGGUAGUCCACGCCCUAAAC
Molecule: ribosomal RNA, 436 nt
Filed under: uncultured Lysobacter sp.
Lineage: Bacteria; Pseudomonadati; Pseudomonadota; Gammaproteobacteria; Lysobacterales; Lysobacteraceae
Description: bacterial SSU rRNA
Rfam family: Bacterial small subunit ribosomal RNA
Source: RNAcentral